Molecule: ribosomal RNA, 468 nt
Filed under: uncultured bacterium
Lineage: Bacteria
Description: partial 16S ribosomal RNA
Rfam family: Bacterial small subunit ribosomal RNA
Source: RNAcentral
UACGAACGCUGGCGGCGUGCUUAACACAUGCAAGUCGAACGGAAAGGCCCUGCUUUUGUGGGGUGCUCGAGUGGCGAACGGGUGAGUAACACGUGAGUAACCUGCCCUUGACUUUGGGAUAACUUCAGGAAACUGGGGCUAAUACCGGAUAGGAGCUCCUGCUGCAUGGUGGGGGUUGGAAAGUUUCGGCGGUUGGGGAUGGACUCGCGGCUUAUCAGCUUGUUGGUGGGGUAGUGGCUUACCAAGGCUUUGACGGGUAGCCGGCCUGAGAGGGUGACCGGCCACAUUGGGACUGAGAUACGGCCCAGACUCCUACGGGAGGCAGCAGUGGGGAAUAUUGCACAAUGGGCGGAAGCCUGAUGCAGCAACGCCGCGUGCGGGAUGACGGCCUUCGGGUUGUAAACCGCUUUCGCCUGUGACGAAGCGUGAGUGACGGUAAUGGGUAAAGAAGCACCGACUAACUACGUG